This 458-nucleotide ribosomal RNA is filed under the name Paranebalia longipes. Its description in RNAcentral is "partial 16S ribosomal RNA". Lineage: Eukaryota; Metazoa; Arthropoda; Malacostraca; Leptostraca; Paranebaliidae. The record is from RNAcentral.
AGUUCCCUGAAUCCAUAUGGAAUAAAUUCUGCUCAAUGAAAAAAUUAAAUAGCCGAAGUAUAACUGACUUUGACAAAGUAACUUAAUAAUGUGCUUUAUAAAUUAAAGAUCGUAUGAACGAAUUAAUAUUUAAAAACUGUUUCUACUUAAAAAAUUGAAUUUAAAUUUCAUGUUAAAAUGCAUGAAUAAAAAAAAAGACGAAAAGACCCUAAAAGUUUAUAAUAAAUAUUUUAAUUAAAAUUAAAUUUUGAUGGGGGUUUAUUAUAAUAAAAUAGUAUUAUAUAUAAAAAAAAACAUAUUUUAUGAAUAAAAAAUUAAAUUACUUUAGGGAUAACAGAGUAAUAUUUCCUAAAAAGAUCAUAUUUAAAGGAUAGAUUACUACCUCGAUGUUGAAUUAUUUUAUCUUUAGAAUGCAGGAGUUUUAAAAAGUUUGGUUUGUUCACCCAAUUAAAAAUACA